AACCAAUGUGAAAUCUCUGAC
This 21-nucleotide unclassified non-coding RNA is filed under the name Dictyostelium discoideum. The record is from RNAcentral. Lineage: Eukaryota; Evosea; Eumycetozoa; Dictyosteliales; Dictyosteliaceae.